AUUGAACGCUGGCGGCAGGCCUAACACAUGCAAGUCGAGCGGAUGAAGGGAGCUUGCUCCUGGAUUCAGCGGCGGACGGGUGAGUAAUGCCUAGGAAUCUGCCUGGUAGUGGGGGAUAACGUCCGGAAACGGGCGCUAAUACCGCAUACGUCCUGAGGGAGAAAGUGGGGGAUCUUCGGACCUCACGCUAUCAGAUGAGCCUAGGUCGGAUUAGCUAGUUGGUGGGGUAAAGGCCUACCAAGGCGACGAUCCGUAACUGGUCUGAGAGGAUGAUCAGUCACACUGGAACUGAGACACGGUCCAGACUCCUACGGGAGGCAGCAGUGGGGAAUAUUGGACAAUGGGCGAAAGCCUGAUCCAGCCAUGCCGCGUGUGUGAAGAAGGUCUUCGGAUUGUAAAGCACUUUAAGUUGGGAGGAAGGGCAGUAAGCUAAUUCCUUGCUGUUUUGACGUUACCAACAGAAUAAGCACCGGCUAACUUCGUG
RNAcentral lists this ribosomal RNA (484 nucleotides) under uncultured bacterium. Its description in RNAcentral is "partial 16S ribosomal RNA". It matches the Rfam family "Bacterial small subunit ribosomal RNA", at positions 30 to 507 of the family's 1533-position model. The record is from RNAcentral.